RNAcentral lists this unclassified non-coding RNA (380 nucleotides) under uncultured fungus. Its description in RNAcentral is "sequence contains ITS1". The stretch from base 1 to 104 matches the Rfam family "5.8S ribosomal RNA", at positions 50 to 154 of the family's 154-position model. Lineage: Eukaryota; Fungi. The record is from RNAcentral.
AAAGUACGAUAUCUUAAGUGAAUCGCAACUAGCGCGACUCUUUAAAUUGUUGAACGCAUAAUGUGCCCUUGUGUAAUAGCUUGGGUGUAUCUGUAUGAGCGCCAUUUAUAAAAUAUCAUAGCACCUCGCUGUGGCAGUGGAUGUUACAAUUGUUUACGAUUGAAUCAUCUGAAAUUAUUGAGAAGGUAAUGGGAGUGGCUUUACUGUCAUGACAUUGCAAUUUCUUUCGGUGGUAAGAGUUUUGCCUCGCGAACUGAAGUGAUUGUACAUGUAAACUGUUAUCCUAUCAGUCGAGACUACAUUGAUCAUCUUGGUUGGUCUGUAUAUCGACAAACCGCAAUCUUGGCUUCAUAUCAGGUACGAUUACCUGCUGAAUUUAA